UACAGAGGGUGCGAGCGUUUGUCCGGAUUUAUUGGGCGUAAAGCGCGUGUAGGCUGGCAGGCCAAGUCGGUGGUGAAAGCGCCCGGCUCAACCUGGGCGAGGUCCAUGGAAACUGGUCAGCUGGAGGACGGUGAGAGGCGAGUGGAAUUCCCGGUGUAGUGGUGAAAUGCGUAGAGAUCGGGAGGAACACCUGUGGCGAAGGCGGACUCGGCUGGGCCGGUCCUGACGCUGAAACGCGAAGGCGUGGGGAGCGAACGGG
This 259-nucleotide ribosomal RNA is filed under the name uncultured bacterium. RNAcentral describes it as "partial 16S ribosomal RNA". It matches the Rfam family "Bacterial small subunit ribosomal RNA", at positions 524 to 776 of the family's 1533-position model. The record is from RNAcentral.